GGCGAACGCUGGCGGCGUGCUUAACACAUGCAAGUCGAACGCUGAAGCUCAGCUUGCUGGGUGGAUGAGUGGCGAACGGGUGAGUAACACGUGAGUAACCUGCCCUCUUCUUUGGGAUAACGCCCGGAAACGGGUGCUAAUACUGGAUAUUCACUGAUUCUCGCAUGGGGGUUGGUGGAAAGGUUUUUUCUGGUGGGGGAUGGGCUCGCGGCCUAUCAGCUUGUUGGUGGGGUGAUGGCCUACCAAGGCUUUGACGGGUAGCCGGCCUGAGAGGGUGACCGGUCACAUUGGGACUGAGAUACGGCCCAGACUCCUACGGGAGGCAGCAGUGGGGAAUAUUGCACAAUGGGCGAAAGCCUGAUGCAGCGACGCCGCGUGAGGGAUGGAGGCCUUCGGGUUGUAAACCUCUUUCGCCCAUGGUCAAGCCGCAGCUUUGGGUUGUGGUGAGGGUAGUGGGUAAAGAAGCGCCGGCUAACUACGUG
This 482-nucleotide ribosomal RNA is filed under the name uncultured bacterium. RNAcentral's name for it is "partial 16S ribosomal RNA". It matches the Rfam family "Bacterial small subunit ribosomal RNA", at positions 28 to 507 of the family's 1533-position model. The record is from RNAcentral.